RNAcentral lists this ribosomal RNA (406 nucleotides) under uncultured bacterium. RNAcentral describes it as "partial 16S ribosomal RNA". It matches the Rfam family "Bacterial small subunit ribosomal RNA", at positions 30 to 526 of the family's 1533-position model. The record is from RNAcentral.
AUUGAACGCUGGCGGCAGGCCUAACACAUGCAAGUCGAACGCGUGGCGGACGGGUGAGUAAUGUCUAGGAAACUGCCCGAUGGAGGGGGGUAACUCCUGGAAACGGUAGCUAAUACCGCAUACCCUAGGAUGUGCCCAGAUGUGAGUAGCUGGUAGGUGGGGUACCGGCUCACCUAGGCGACGAUCCCUAGCUGGUCUGAGAGGAUGACCAGCCACACUGGAACUGAGACACGGUCCAGACUCCUACGGGAGGCAGCAGUGGGGAAUAUUGCACAAUGGGCGCAAGCCUGAUGCAGCCAUGCCGCGUGUAUGAAGAAGGCCUUCGGGUUGUAAAGUACUUUCAGCGGGGAGGCGUUACCCGCAGAAGAAGCACCGGCUAACUUCGUGCCAGCAGCCGCGGUAAUUC